UACGUAGGGAGCAAGCGUUGUCCGGAAUUAUUGGGCGUAAAGGGUGCGUAGGCGGCACUGCAAGUCAGAUGUGAAAUCCCCGGGCUUAACUCGGGAGUUGCAUUUGAAACUGCAGAGCUUGAGUGAAGAAGAGGUAAGUGGAAUUCCUAGUGUAGCGGUGGAAUGCGUAGAUAUUAGGAGGAACACCAGUGGCGAAGGCGACUUACUGGUCUUUUACUGACGCUGAGGCACGAAAGCGUGGGGAGCAAACAGGAUUAGAUACCCUGGUAGUCCACGCUGUAAACGAUGGAUACUAGGUGUGGGGGAGAUACAACCUCUGUGCCGGAGCUAACGCAAUAAGUAUCCCGCCUGGGGAGUACGGUCGCAAGGCUGAA
Molecule: ribosomal RNA, 374 nt
Filed under: uncultured bacterium
Lineage: Bacteria
Description: bacterial SSU rRNA
Rfam family: Bacterial small subunit ribosomal RNA
Source: RNAcentral